UCAUCAAUGUGACGCGCCGCUCUUUCGCCGAAGGCGCGCUGAACGCUGCGCUGAUCCCUCAUUAUCUGCGGGUGCGGGAAACCGAAGGCACUGUUGCGGCAGGCGCCUCCCCGGGGGGCCGGCUCGGCAGGCGCCGCCCCCUCCNNNNNGAUCGGCAUCGCGGUCGUCCUCACGCUGCUGAUGCCGCUCGUCAUUGCAGUGCUUGCACCCGGCUUUG
Molecule: unclassified non-coding RNA, 217 nt
Filed under: Hevea brasiliensis (rubber tree)
Lineage: Eukaryota; Viridiplantae; Streptophyta; Magnoliopsida; Malpighiales; Euphorbiaceae
Source: RNAcentral